GGGAUGACACAGUAGGAUAAGCUAAGCACACUGUUGGUUAUGUGUGCCCAAGCAUUGAGGCAGUCAAAGUAGGCAAAUCCGCUUUGAUAAUGCUGGGAUGGGAUGGGGAGCGAAAUUUAGUAGCGAAGUAGCUGAUUUCACACUGUCAAGAAAAGUCUCUAUCGAGGUUAAAGGUACCCGUACCGCAAACCGACACAGGUGGGUGAGGAGAGUAUCCUAAGGCCAGCG
RNAcentral lists this ribosomal RNA (228 nucleotides) under Clostridioides difficile. Its description in RNAcentral is "partial 23S ribosomal RNA". It matches the Rfam family "Bacterial large subunit ribosomal RNA", at positions 1466 to 1692 of the family's 2925-position model. Lineage: Bacteria; Bacillati; Bacillota; Clostridia; Peptostreptococcales; Peptostreptococcaceae. The record is from RNAcentral.